CCUACGGGAGGCAGCAGUGAGGAAUAUUGGUCAAUGGACGCAAGCCUGAACCAGCCAAGCAGCGUGCAGGAAGACGGCCCUACGGGUUGUAAACUGCUUUUGUACGGGGAUAACCCGCCUUACGUGUAUCUCUUUGCAUGUAUCGUAUGAAUAAGGACCGGCUAAUUCCGUGCCAGCAGCCGCGGUAAUACGGAGGGUUCAAGCGUUAUCCGGAUUUAUUGGGUUUAAAGGGGGCGUAGGCGGUCUGUCAAGCUUGCGGUGAAAUCGCCGGGCUCAACCUCGGAAUUGCCGCGGCUACUGGUCGGCUAGAGAGUAGGUGCGGUAGGCGGAAUGUAUGGUGUAGCGGUGAAAUGCUUAGAGAUGAUGCAGAACACCGAUUGCGAAGGCAGCUUACCAA
RNAcentral lists this ribosomal RNA (397 nucleotides) under uncultured bacterium. RNAcentral's name for it is "partial 16S ribosomal RNA". It matches the Rfam family "Bacterial small subunit ribosomal RNA", at positions 338 to 732 of the family's 1533-position model. The record is from RNAcentral.